UGUUAUGUAAUUGAUGAAGAUUGAUUCUGUCUUAAUUGAAUGUAAAAUUGGUUUUUAAAUAGUAUUAAAUAUAAGUUUUUGCGUGAUUUUGUAAUUUUUCUAAAUGAUAAAUUUAUUUUUAUUUGUAGUUUUUAAUUUUAAAUAUUUGUAGAUUUAGUUAAUUUAUUAAGGGAUGUUUAAGGUUGUGCCAGCAUACGCGGUUACACAUCUGUCUCGAGUUAAUUUUUUUGGUUUUUAUUAUUUAUUUAUU
This 250-nucleotide ribosomal RNA is filed under the name Villasitocoris inconspicuus. Its description in RNAcentral is "partial small subunit ribosomal RNA". The record is from RNAcentral. Lineage: Eukaryota; Metazoa; Arthropoda; Insecta; Hemiptera; Coreidae.